Molecule: non-coding RNA, 336 nt
Organism: Caenorhabditis elegans
Lineage: Eukaryota; Metazoa; Nematoda; Chromadorea; Rhabditida; Rhabditidae
Source: Ensembl
ACACCCUUCACUGAGCUCUUUCCCUCCGGUAAAUCCCGAAAUCCGCCUAGAGGAGUCCGGUAAUUGGUGUUGUGCAACGAUUUUCCGGGGGUUCCUAAUGUGGGCCUUCAUCAUACUGUCUGAAGCUGGGAGGUAAGCACAUGUGUGGACAUGAGCAUACAAUACGGUAUGCACCUGCUAUUUGAUUAAUUCAUGCGAGAUGCGGGGACGGUGAAGGGCUAUGGGAGGAGAAGAUGUAGCAAAGAUUUGAAAAUUACUCUACAUUCAUGUAUUCAUUGAUUCUUCGCAUGCUCACAGAUGGUAUAUGAAAAGGUUUUCUGGAUGAAAAAGUUAUGA